AUUGAACGCUGGCGGCAUGCUUUACACAUGCAAGUCGAACGGCAGCGGGGUAGUGCUUGCACUACUGCCGGCGCGUGGCGCACGGGUGAGUAAUAUAUCGGAACGUACCGAGUAAUGGGGGAUAACCAAUCGAAAGAUUGGCUAUUACCGCACACGUCCUGAAGGAGAAAGCGCGGGAUCGCAAGACCCCGCGCUAUUCUAGCGGCCGAUAACUGAUUAGCUAGUUGGUGGGGUAAAGGCCUACCAAGGCGACGAUCAGUAGCGGGUCUGAGAGGACGAUCGGCCACACUGGGACUGAGACACGGCCCAGACUCCUACGGGAGGCAGCAGUGGGGAAUUUUGGACAAUGGGGGCAACCCUGAUCCAGCCAUGCCGCGUGUAUGAAGAAGGCCUUCGGGUUGUAAAGUACUUUUGUUAGGGAAGAAAAGCGAAGUGCUAAUACCACUUUUUGCUGACGGUACCUAAAGAAUAAGCACCGGCUAACUACGUG
Molecule: ribosomal RNA, 490 nt
Filed under: uncultured bacterium
Lineage: Bacteria
Description: partial 16S ribosomal RNA
Rfam family: Bacterial small subunit ribosomal RNA
Source: RNAcentral